Molecule: transfer RNA, 68 nt
Filed under: Geomys breviceps
Lineage: Eukaryota; Metazoa; Chordata; Mammalia; Rodentia; Geomyidae
Description: tRNA-Trp
Source: RNAcentral
AAGGGUUUAGGUUAUUCAGACCAAGGGCCUUCAAAGCCCUAAGAAGAUAAUAUUUAAUCUAACCCUUG